This 253-nucleotide ribosomal RNA is filed under the name uncultured bacterium. RNAcentral describes it as "partial 16S ribosomal RNA". It matches the Rfam family "Bacterial small subunit ribosomal RNA", at positions 524 to 776 of the family's 1533-position model. The record is from RNAcentral.
UACGGGGGGGGCAAGCGUUGUUCGGAAUUACUGGGCGUAAAGGGUUCGUAGGUGGCUUACUAAGUCAGACGUGAAAUCCCUCAGCUUAACUGGGGAACUGCGUCUGAUACUGGAAAGCUUGAGUGCAGGAGAGGAACGCGGAAUUCCAGGUGUAGCGGUGAAAUGCGUAGAUAUCUGGAGGAACACCGGUGGCGAAGGCGGCGUUCUGGACUGCAACUGACACUGAUGAACGAAAGCCAGGGGAGCAAACGGG